Molecule: ribosomal RNA, 253 nt
Filed under: uncultured bacterium
Lineage: Bacteria
Description: partial 16S ribosomal RNA
Rfam family: Bacterial small subunit ribosomal RNA
Source: RNAcentral
UACGUAGGGGGCAAGCGUUAUCCGGAUUUACUGGGUGUAAAGGGGGCGCAGACGGCGAUGCAAGCCAGGAGUGAAAGCCCGGGGCCCAACCCCGGGACUGCUCUUGGAACUGCGUGGCUGGAGUGCAGGAGGGGCAGGCGGAAUUCCUGGGGUAGCGGUGAAAUGCGUAGAUAUCAGGAGGAACCCCGGUGGCGAAGGCGGCCUGCUGGACUGCAACUGACGUUGAGGCCCGAAAGCGUGGGGAGCAAACAGG